This 1063-nucleotide long non-coding RNA is filed under the name Mytilus galloprovincialis (Mediterranean mussel). The record is from RNAcentral. Lineage: Eukaryota; Metazoa; Mollusca; Bivalvia; Mytilida; Mytilidae.
GCAAGGGUUGUAUAGCCAGCUGAGGUCGUUAAAAACUUUCUUUCUUUUGUUGUUGCAGAUAGAUCUUGACCUGAUAAGCAAUUUUACCACAUGUCAGAUUUGCUCUAAAUGCUUUGGUUUUUGAGUGAUAAGCCAAAAACUGCAUUUUACCCCUAUGUUUUAUUUUUAGCCAUGGCGGCCAUCUUGAUUGGUUGGCCGGGUCACCGGACACAAUUUUCAAACUCGAUACCCCAAUGAUGAUUGUGGCCAAGUUUGGUUUAAUUUGGUCCAGUAGUUUCAGAGGAGAAGAUUUUUGUAAAAGAUAACUAAGAUUUACGAAAAAUGGUUAAAAAUUGACUAUAAAGGGCAAUAACUCCUAAAGGGGUCAACAGACCAUUUUGGUCAUGCUGACUUAUUUGUAGAUCUUACUUAGCUGAACAUUUUUGCUGUUUACAGUUUAUCUCUAUCUAUAAUAAUAUUCAAGAUAAUAACCAAAAACAGUAAAAUUUCCUUAAAAUUACCAAUUUCAGGGGCAGCAACCUAUCAACGAGUUGUCCGAUUCAUCUCAAAAUUUCAGGGCAGAUAGAUCUUGACCUGAUAAACAAUUUUACUACAUGUCAGAUUUGCUCUAAAUGCUUCGGUUUUUGAGUGAUAAGCCAAAAACUGCAUUUUACCCCCUAUGUUCUAUUUUUAGCCAUGGCGGCCAUCUUGGUUGGUUGGCCGGAUCACCGGACACAAUUUUUAAUUUAGAUACCCCAAUGAUGAUUGUGGCCAAGUUUGGUUUAAUUUGGUCCAGUAUUUUCAGAGGAGAAGAUUUUUGUAAAAGAUAACUAAGAUUUACGAAAAAUGGUUAAAAAUUGACUAUAAAGGGCAAUAACUUCUAAAGGGGUCAACAGACCAUUUUGGUCAGGUUGACUUAUUUGUAGAUCUUACUUUGUUGAACAUUUUUGCUGUUCACAGUUUAUCUCUAUCUAUAAUAAUAUUCAAGAUAAUAACCAAAAACAGCAAAAUUUUCUCAAAAUUACCAAUUCAGGGGCAGCAACCUACCAACGGGUUGUCUGAUUCAUCUGAAAAUUUCAGGGCA